RNAcentral lists this ribosomal RNA (447 nucleotides) under uncultured bacterium. RNAcentral's name for it is "bacterial SSU rRNA". It matches the Rfam family "Bacterial small subunit ribosomal RNA", at positions 328 to 792 of the family's 1533-position model. The record is from RNAcentral.
AAGCCAGACUCCUACGGGAGGCAGCAGUGGGGAAUAUUGCACAAUGGGGGAAACCCUGAUGCAGCAACGCCGCGUGAGUGAAGAAGUAUUUCGGUAUGUAAAGCUCUAUCAGCAGGGAAGAAAAUGACGGUACCUGAGUAAGAAGCCCCGGCUAACUACGUGCCAGCAGCCGCGGUAAUACGUAGGGGGCAAGCGUUAUCCGGAUUUACUGGGUGUAAAGGGAGCGUAGACGGCGAUACAAGUCUGAAGUGAAAGCCCGGGGCUCAACCCCGGGACUGCUUUGGAAACUGUGUUGCUGGAGUGCUGGAGAGGCAAGCGGAAUUUCUAGUGUAGCGGUGAAAUGCGUAGAUAUUAGGAGGAACACCAGUGGCGAAGGCGGCUUACUGGACUGUAACUGACGUUGAGGCUCGAAAGCGUGGGGAGCAAACAGGAUUAGAUACCCGAGUA